RNAcentral lists this ribosomal RNA (250 nucleotides) under uncultured prokaryote. Its description in RNAcentral is "partial 16S ribosomal RNA". It matches the Rfam family "Bacterial small subunit ribosomal RNA", at positions 524 to 773 of the family's 1533-position model. The record is from RNAcentral.
UACGGAGGAUGCGAGCGCUAUCCGGAUUUAUUGGGUUUAAAGGGUGCGUAGGCGGAGUCUUAAGCGUGAGGUGAAAUGCCACUGCUCAACAGUGGAACUGCCUCGCGAACUGGGGUUCUGGAAUGCCCCUGCCGUGGGAGGAAUGUGUGGUGCAGCGGUGAAAUGCAUAGAGAUCACACAGAACACCGAUUGCGAAGGCAUCUCACGAAGGGGUGAUUGACGCUGAGACACGAAAGCGUGGGGAGCAAAC